UGGAUAUCAGAAAGGCAAAAUGGGAACCCUCCAGGAAGAAAUUCUACUAAGAGUUUAAUAUGAUGUUUAGGGAACUCCAGAGACUCAGUCAGUCAAGAAAUGAUUAAUGAGGGCUCAAGAAUCAAAACUUCCAUGUGAAAAAAAUGAAGUCCCUAUUCCUUAUCACUGCUUAUUAAACAGAAUCAAGAUAAAAGUACAAAUCAUCAGAUACAAAGAAAACAAGGAAAGAAGAAGUGGGACCACUAAGCAUUGAGGAUGGGAUGGAGAUUAGAGAUAACACAGGUGUAUUUUUUAAUAUCUUAGUUUCUUAGUACUGGAAAGUAACCAUUCCGAAGGCUGCCACAUAUAAUUUGGAGAAGAAAACUCAAGUCUGUUCAAGUAACAUCUACACACAGAAUUAUAAAAAUAAACGAAGAUAGCUGAAGCUCACAUCUAUGUUGAAGAUUAGAAGAAAGGCUCACCCAGACCAUAAGUGAAAAAUAUCACCCACACGGCUGUUCGGUUUGCAAAACCAAUUUCCUUUUGUAGUGGAUUAUUUUAACAUAUUUAUUAGUUUUCCAUAAGA
Long non-coding RNA from Terrapene triunguis (Three-toed box turtle), 565 nucleotides. RefSeq lists it as uncharacterized. Lineage: Eukaryota; Metazoa; Chordata; Testudines; Emydidae. The transcript is spliced from 4 exons. The record is from RefSeq and is a predicted model, not a curated record.